Long non-coding RNA from Tupaia belangeri chinensis (Chinese tree shrew), 1962 nucleotides. RefSeq lists it as uncharacterized. Lineage: Eukaryota; Metazoa; Chordata; Mammalia; Scandentia; Tupaiidae. The transcript is spliced from 2 exons. The record is from RefSeq and is a predicted model, not a curated record.
AUACAUCUUUAAGGAAAGAAAAAAAAAUCAACUUACAUACAGUUAUUACAAUUUUAUUUAGAUUUAAAAUAAUACAUGGCAUUCCUUUCUUAACCUUCUUCAUCUAACUUAAGUGUGCCGUGCUUUCCAUUUUCUAAAUGCAACCAUGAAUUUCAGGACUUUUCAUUUUCACCCAUAUUUUUAAUUAAUCUCCAUGAAAAGAUGCUAAUCUGAUGUUUUAUUUAAAUAUCUUGUUUUCUUAGAAUCUUUGCUUUUUUAGUGCUUCCAUAUUUACUCUUGCUUUCCUGACAACUGGAUAUAAAAUGACACAAACAUUGAUUUGAGCAUGAAGAAAAUCAGUAAGUACCAAAGUAAAUACGUGUAAGUACUUUUUGAUGAACUAGUUUUUUUUUUUUUUUUUUAAGUUUGUUAAAAGAAAUAAAGCAGAAAACUUUAUGAGAAAAUGAGAGACUCUCCAUCAGUGGUAUACCAAAAGGGGUGAGAGGGGAGAGUACGAGCCUUCCACCUCGGAAAGUAGGAAUAUAUUAUCACUGACAUUGUAUAAUACUGGCACAUGCCAAUAAGAAAAAGCAGAAAUCUGGAGAAUUCUCAUUAUCACACACUAAAAGAAGAAACCAUAGGUCUUCUAAAAUCUCAGAGGACUGGGAAGGAAAGCAAAAUAAAUUUCAUUUCUGGAGCCAAAAAGAAUAGUAGAAAUAUCUUGUUUUUUGGGUUUUUUUUUCUUAAUGAUAAAAUAAAUUUUGGGUUUUUAAAUGAUUUACUCUGAGGAAUAUUAAAAUAACUUAUCUUGAAAAUAUAUUGUUAUUCCCAAAUAAUUCUUUUUAAGUGCCACUUGACCAAAGGAUAGGAAAGGAAGAGAUACUCUUUUGUUACCAGAUUUUUCCAGUGAGAAAUAUAUAAUAAUAAUUUUCCUUAUAAAUAUUAUAGGUGUACGGUAUUUCAAUUUGAUAUAUGUUUCAUAUUUAAUAUAUUUUAAGCAAAAGAAUUUCAAGAUAGCUCAGAUGAUGAAAUUUUUGUUUAAAACUGAGUUAAGUAUAUUUUCAUUUUUAUAAGUUAUGGUGAUUUUAAAAUCCCAGAACUGGGAAAUUAACAUGUGACUGGUAAAAAUUUAGAUACUGAUCAAGGCUUAUUUUCACUAAUGAUGGGGUAAAGAAUUUUUAAAUGGAUAAUAUAAAACAGACAGUUCAAAAAUUAUUUUUUGGCAACUACAUCCAUUGAGAAGCAUCACCCCAUAUCAUACCAUGGUCUGAUUAUUCCCCAGCCUUUGAGAGCCUGAAACUUGACAGGGUAGUGAAAGAUGAAGAGCCUACAUUAUUAAAAGAAUCCAGAAAGUAGGUAAACCAGUAAAGGAAAAUUAAGAGUUGAUAUAAUAUCUGGACUGAAAGGAGAAAAAUAAACCAAGUUGGAUUGUCUUUUUUUCCUAGAAAUGUGAAGUAAAUAUGAUGCUAUCAAGCAGCUAAAAAUACAGCUAUUGCUUUGGGGGAAAAAUUUUAAUGAAAAUGCUGUAAAAAUAGGACUAGCCCACUUUCAGUAUGAACAAAAUCAAAUAUUUUAAAUGUUUAAUUGUUUUGGUAUUUGACUAUAUUUUGAUGUAGAAGAUCAUGGUUAAAGUUGGUGCUCAUUUUGCUAAUUUUUUUUCUAAUAUGAGGAACUUGUAGCCUGUUCUUUAUAGUUUAUAAGACAAAAAUGGUUUCAUUUGCUGUGAUCUUCAAUUUUGUUGCUAGCUGGAGUUAAAUCUACAUACGUAAAAGUAAAACAAUAAAUAUGGGAAACCCCAGCAAUCUUUCCUACAAUGUGUAUUCUUACAUUCUCUUCAGAAUAACAAAUUCUUAACUUUUCCCAAAUACUUGUUUUUAACUUUAAGUAUGAGCUUAUUUUAAAUUUCUUAUUCAAAAUCUUUCAGAAAUCUCAAAUUUUGUAACAUCGCUAAUACAAGUCUCAUUAAAAUGUUUGUUUAUUUUA